This is a long non-coding RNA of Copidosoma floridanum, 539 nucleotides long. The record is from RefSeq and is a predicted model, not a curated record. NCBI's taxonomy places the organism in Eukaryota, Metazoa, Arthropoda, Insecta, Hymenoptera, Encyrtidae.
UAAGAAAGCAAAGUUUCAACAGUUGUUUACUAUUAUGGGAGUUAAGGCUGGUCAUUGCUGGCUUCCAACGUAUAUGCAUCGCACACUAAUAUAAAGAACAUUUCUUGACCCUUCACACGUGUUUCCUAUGAUAUUUUCACUGUUGGUACGGAAAAAUACAAAUGCCUAUAACGCAUUUUUUCAAUAGGUCAUUGCAAAAAAUCUGUUAGAUCCCGAAAAAAUAGAAAUCGUUUUAUCAGAUCUUGAGACUGCCAUCCGGAAUGCUGCACAUAUUAAUUUUCCAACAGCCCGCUGUGUUGGUUGUAAUGUACACCUGGAUAGAGCAGUCUACAAAGAAUUGCACAGCCUAAAGCUUCGUCCCUAUUUACAAAAAAAUGAAGACGCAGAAACUUUUGUGAAGAAACUUUUACUCCUAGCUUACAUACCACCUGAGUAUGUCAUGAAAGAAUGUGCAGAGCUCAUUAAUCAAUUAAACAUAAAACAUAAAAUAAAAUUAAAAACUUUUAUUAAAUAUUUCAACGACUUUUGGAUAAAAAAUG